CUUACCAUAGAUAGCUGACUUGGUAUGCAACCUAAUGGUCCUGACCCAGCUAACACCAUUUUUCUUGCACCUAAGUUGUAUAGCCUCUGCCAAAUGUUUAUAAAAGAACACACUUAACACUUUCUGAGUAUGAGAUGAAAAUCUGCAUCACUAUUGUGAAUACUGUAUUAUGAGAAUUUGGGAGUGUUAUAAAAGAAAUUUGAUUAACUGAUAUUUGAGCUGACAGAGUCUUGAUCAGGAGAUCUGCAUACUCUUCUUCACUGUAGAUUUGGCUGGUGGAGUAUCUCUCAGGCAUAAGAUCCGCAGGGUUUUGAAAGAAACGCCGGAGAUGUAACUCGAUUGUAAUCUCAAACUGUGAUAUCUGUCCAUUAAAUGUAGUUCUUGCUCCCUGAAGAAAAAAACACAAAGCUGCUGCAGAUGCAUAGUUAACCCCUCUUAAGGAAUUUGGCCCAAUGGAUAAAGGAGAUAAGUAUGGUGGCACCAAUGGCAAGCCGAGAAACGACCAGUUGGGAAGCCAAAAUCAAUUCCAUAAGGGAAAUAAUUAGCUCGUGCGAGAGUUGGAAUGUAAUUGUUGUUUCCACUGUCGAC
Long non-coding RNA from Capsella rubella, 588 nucleotides. RefSeq lists it as uncharacterized. Lineage: Eukaryota; Viridiplantae; Streptophyta; Magnoliopsida; Brassicales; Brassicaceae. The transcript is spliced from 4 exons. The record is from RefSeq and is a predicted model, not a curated record.